CUGGGGUUGGGUGUGUAUGUGCAGAGGAUGGAACCAGGCUCCACCCACUUGCCUUCGGGACCUGCUCAGGCUGGAGCUCUGAGUGCCGGCGAGACAGAGCACCUGCACAGGAGGGGAACUUCAUCUUCGGAGGUGGGUUUUCCUAGGGAACCUUGUCAGCUGUGCUGCUGGGAUUAUUUCCUCAUGGAUACAGCGUCCCGCAAGGAAAGCUGCAGCUGGCGCCGAGGCGGGACCACGCCGGGAGGCUGACCCGGGCUCCGUCCAAACACAAGUCUGGGGUGGAUGGCUGGGAACUGUCUCUGCGGGCGGCCGUCCACGGCUCGGCUCGGGCUGCGUGCUUAUGUCGUGUUGCGUGCUGGGGUGUAAGUGUGUGAGUGUGAGUGUGUGUCCCCAGCCCUCUGGUGUCCCCACCCCCACCCAUGCCC
Molecule: long non-coding RNA, 425 nt
Organism: Sorex araneus (European shrew)
Lineage: Eukaryota; Metazoa; Chordata; Mammalia; Eulipotyphla; Soricidae
Exons: 3
Source: RefSeq, a predicted model, not a curated record